This 358-nucleotide ribosomal RNA is filed under the name uncultured bacterium. Its description in RNAcentral is "partial 16S ribosomal RNA". It matches the Rfam family "Bacterial small subunit ribosomal RNA", at positions 338 to 693 of the family's 1533-position model. The record is from RNAcentral.
CCUACGAGAGGCAGCAGUGAGGAAUAUUGGUCAAUGGCCGUAAGGCUGAACCAGCCAAGUAGCGUGAGGGAUGACUGCCCUAUGGGGUGUAAACCUCUUUUAUGCGGGGAUAAAGGUGUCCACGUGUGGAUGUUUGCAGGUACCGCAUGAAUAAGGACCGGCUAGUUCCGUGCCAGCAGCCGCGGUAAUACGGAAGGUCCGUGCGUUAUCCGGAUUUAUUGGGUUUAAAGGGAGCGUAGGCCGGUCUUUAAGCGUACCGGUAAAUUUUGUGGCUCAACCAUCAGAGUGCGGCGCGAACUGGAGACCUUAAGUGCGCGGAAUGCAGGCGGAAUUCGUGGUGUAGCGGUGAAAUGCUUCG